Molecule: ribosomal RNA, 500 nt
Filed under: uncultured bacterium
Lineage: Bacteria
Description: partial 16S ribosomal RNA
Rfam family: Bacterial small subunit ribosomal RNA
Source: RNAcentral
AUUGAACGCUGGCGGCAUGCCUUACACAUGCAAGUCGAACGGCAGCACGGGAGCAAUCCUGGUGGCGAGUGGCGAACGGGUGAGUAAAGUAUCGGAACGUGCCCAGUCGUGGGGGAUAACGUAGCGAAAGUUACGCUAAUACCGCAUACGAUCUAUGGAUGAAAGCGGGGGAUCGCAAGACCUCGCGCGAUUGGAGCGGCCGAUAUCAGAUGAGGUAGUUGGUGGGGUAAAGGCUCACCAAGCCGAAGAUCUGUAACUGGUCUGAGAGGACGACCAGCCACACUGGGACUGAGACACGGCCCAGACUCCUAGGGGAGGCAGCAGUGGGGAAUUUUGGACAAUGGGCGAAAGCCUGAUCCAGCCAUGCCGCGUGCAGGAUGAAGGCCUUCGGGUUGUAAACUGCUUUUGUACGGAACGAAAAGGUUUGGCCUAAUAAGCUGAGCUCAUGACGGUACCGUAAGAAUAAGCACCGGCUAACUACGUGCCAGCCGCCGCCGUAA